RNAcentral lists this ribosomal RNA (482 nucleotides) under uncultured bacterium. RNAcentral describes it as "partial 16S ribosomal RNA". It matches the Rfam family "Bacterial small subunit ribosomal RNA", at positions 28 to 508 of the family's 1533-position model. The record is from RNAcentral.
GACGAACGCUGGCGGCGUGCUUAACACAUGCAAGUCGAACGGUAAGGCCCUUCGGGGUACACGAGUGGCGAACGGGUGAGUAACACGUGGGUGAUCUGCCCUGCACUUCGGGAUAAGCCUGGGAAACUGGGUCUAAUACCGGAUAGGACCACCGCCUGCAUGGGUGGUGGUGGAAAGCUUUUGCGGUGUGGGAUGGGCCCGCGGCCUAUCAGCUUGUUGGUGGGGUGAUGGCCUACCAAGGCGACGAUCGGUAGCUGGUCUGAGAGGACGAUCAGCCACACUGGGACUGGGACACGGCCCAGCAUCCUACGGGAGGCAGCAGUGGGGAAUCUUGCGCAAUGGGCGAAAGCCUGACGCAGCGACGCCGCGUGCGGGAAGAAGGCCUUCGGGUUGUAAACCGCUUUCAGGAGGGACGAAGCCACUCGGGUUAAUAGCCUAGAGGGUGACGGUACCUCCAGAAGAAGCCCCGGCUAACUCUGUGC